This 464-nucleotide ribosomal RNA is filed under the name uncultured Lactococcus sp. Its description in RNAcentral is "bacterial SSU rRNA". It matches the Rfam family "Bacterial small subunit ribosomal RNA", at positions 338 to 794 of the family's 1533-position model. The record is from RNAcentral. Lineage: Bacteria; Bacillati; Bacillota; Bacilli; Lactobacillales; Streptococcaceae.
CCUACGGGUGGCAGCAGUAGGGAAUCUUCGGCAAUGGGGGCAACCCUGACCGAGCAACGCCGCGUGAGUGAAGAAGGUUUUCGGAUCAUAAAACUCUGUUGUUAGAGAAGAACGUUAAGUAGAGUGGAAAAUUACUUAAGUGACGGUAUCUAACCAGAAAGGGACGGCUAACUACGUGCCAGCAGCCGCGGUAAUACGUAGGUCCCAAGCGUUGUCCGGAUUUAUUGGGCGUACAGCCAGUGCAGGUGGUUUAUUAAGACGGGUGUAAAAGGCAGGUGCUCACCCAUUGUAUGCAUUGGAAACUGGUAGACUUGAGUGCAGGAGAGUGGAGUGGAAUUCCAUGUGUAGCGGUGAAAUGCGUAGAUAUAUGGAGGAACACCGGGGGCGAAAGCGGCUCUCAGGCCUGUAACUGACACUGAGGCUCGAAAGCGGGGGGAGCAAACAGGAUGAGAUACCCCUGUAGC